This 585-nucleotide ribosomal RNA is filed under the name uncultured marine bacterium D029. RNAcentral describes it as "bacterial SSU rRNA". It matches the Rfam family "Bacterial small subunit ribosomal RNA", at positions 339 to 916 of the family's 1533-position model. The record is from RNAcentral.
CUACGGGAGGCAGCAGUGGGGAAUAUUGCACAAUGGGGGAAACCCUGAUGCAGCCAUGCCGCGUGUGUGAAGAAGGCCUUCGGGUUGUAAAGCACUUUCAGUUGUGAGGAAAAGUUAGUAGUUAAUACCUGCUAGCCGUGACGUUAACAACAGAAGAAGCACCGGCUAACUCCGUGCCAGCAGCCGCGGUAAUACGGAGGGUGCGAGCGUUAAUCGGAAUUACUGGGCGUAAAGCGCACGCAGGCGGUUUGUUAAGCUAGAUGUGAAAGCCCCGGGCUCAACCUGGGAUGGUCAUUUAGAACUGGCAGACUAGAGUCUUGGAGAGGGGAGUGGAAUUCCAGGUGUAGCGGUGAAAUGCGUAGAUAUCUGGAGGAACAUCAGUGGCGAAGGCGACUCCCUGGCCAAAGACUGACGCUCAUGUGCGAAAGUGUGGGUAGCGAACAGGAUUAGAUACCCUGGUAGUCCACACCGUAAACGCUGUCUACUAGCUGUGUGUGCCUUUAAGGCUGUGCGUASGAAGCUAACGCGAUAAGUAGACCGCCUGGGGAGUACGGCCGCAAGGUUAAAACUCAAAUGAAUUGACGG